AGCGAACGCUGGCGGCAGGCCUAACACAUGCCAGUCGAACGAACUCUUCGGAGUUAGUGGCGGACGGGUGAGUAACACGUGGGAACGUGCCUUUAGGUUCGGAAUAACUCAGGGAAACUUGUGCUAAUACCGAAUGUGCCCUUCGGGGGAAAGAUUUAUCGCCUUUAGAGCGGCCCGCGUCUGAUUAGCUAGUUGGUGAGGUAAAGGCUCACCAAGGCGACGAUCAGUAGCUGGUCUGAGAGGAUGAUCAGCCACAGUGGGACUGAGACACGGCCCAAACUCCUACGGGAGGGUGCAGUAGGGAAUCUUGCGCAAUGGGCGAAAGCCUGACGCAGCCAUGCCGCGUGAAUGAUGAAGGUCUUAGUAUUGUAAAAUUCUUUCUCCGGGGACGAUAAUGACGGUACCCGGAGAAGAAGCCCCGGCUAACUUCGUG
RNAcentral lists this ribosomal RNA (433 nucleotides) under uncultured bacterium. RNAcentral's name for it is "partial 16S ribosomal RNA". It matches the Rfam family "Bacterial small subunit ribosomal RNA", at positions 29 to 507 of the family's 1533-position model. The record is from RNAcentral.